AGAUAAGAUGUCCUAGAACAGGUCAGGUGUAAAAGAAUAUUCACAUGCCCUUUCAACUCCCUCCGUUCUUUUUUCAUCUGGCUAUUGUAUCAAAUGUUGGUCCCCUAAUUUCAGAUUGACUAUAUAGUGGGUCUCAUUAGGGGGCUAGGAUGAAAUUUGAAAAAAAUAGGCAGGACAGGAGUUUUGAGUAAAAAAAAAAGGCAGGAUGAGACACUUGCAAAAAAAAAAGUCAGGACGACAAUUUAGGUAAAAAAAGUCAAGAUAAACUAAAAAAAAAAGAAGGCAGGACCAAACAGAGUGAAAAAUAAAAAGGCAGCACAGAAAUUACAGCUAAAAAAAAAAUGCAGGACAAAAAUAUUUCAUCUACCAAGCCCCCCCCCCCCCAUAAAAAUCAAAUGGAAGCUUCCUUAGGUGCAUAGUAUAAGCGGGAUACUGGAAUCUAACAAAACAAUAAGCGGUGUUCCGGGAUCAGAACCCCACACCCCCAAUGAGAUCCCCUUAAACGGCCUUUAUACAUGUAUAAAGAACUAAUAAAAAUUGAUUGUUAAGAAGUUGUACUACUACUUAUGAAAAUUGAUUGUUAAGAGUUGUACAAUGUACCUGAUCCUAGUGGAAUGACUCGUCCUGUAUACACCCUGUCAGGAAAUGAUGAAGAUCCUUGGUCAGCUUUCAAAUUGGCUUUGCUGGAAGACGGUUGGACGGGAUGUUGACAUCUUGCUUGACUAUAAUGUCAAUGAAUUCCAUAAAAGUCCCUGUACUUCAAGCAUAUUCUAACAUGUCUAAGACGAGAUGAUAUAACAACCAUAGGAAAAUAAACCACUCCUCGUCUUAUAUAAAACAAGGACUCCUGUUGGAAAUUCUACACCAUAGUUUGCAUCAUGUUUAUUCACUAAGUUAUGAUUAUUGUCUGGUAAAUUAUUG
This 921-nucleotide long non-coding RNA is filed under the name Mytilus galloprovincialis (Mediterranean mussel). Lineage: Eukaryota; Metazoa; Mollusca; Bivalvia; Mytilida; Mytilidae. The record is from RNAcentral.